Molecule: ribosomal RNA, 477 nt
Filed under: uncultured bacterium
Lineage: Bacteria
Description: partial 16S ribosomal RNA
Rfam family: Bacterial small subunit ribosomal RNA
Source: RNAcentral
GACGAACGCUGGCGGCGUGCUUAACACAUGCAAGUCGAACGGUAAGGCCCUUCGGGGUACACGAGUGGCGAACGGGUGAGUAACACGUGAGAAAUCUGCCUUCAACACUGGGAUAACUCCGGGAUACCGGGGCUAAUACCGGAUAUGAAACCUGCGGGCAUCCGCGGGCUUGGAAAGUUUUUCGGUUGAAGAUGAUCUCGAGGCCGAUCAGCUUGUUGGUGAGGUAAUGGCUCACCAAGGCGACGACGGGUAGCCGGACUGAGAGGGCGACCGGCCAAACUGGGACUGAGACACGGCCCAGACUCCUACGGGAGGCAGCAGUGGGGAAUAUUGGGCAAUGGAGGAAACUCUGACCCAGCGACGCCGCGUGCGGGAUGAAGGCCUUCGGGUUGUAAACCGCUUUCAGCAGGGAAGAAGCGAAAGUGACGGUACCUGCAGAAGAAGCACCGGCUAACUAUGUGCCAGCCGCCGCGGUAA